GAGUCGGUAGUGUAAAGGUUCAGCACGUGCUCACAGAAAGAGUGAGAUCUGGUUUCGAAUCCCGGCUGACUUA
Parelaphostrongylus tenuis is the source of this 73-nucleotide non-coding RNA. The record is from the annotation of a GenBank genome assembly. NCBI's taxonomy places the organism in Eukaryota, Metazoa, Nematoda, Chromadorea, Rhabditida, Metastrongylidae.